UACGUAGGGUGCGAGCGUUAAUCGGAAUUACUGGGCGUAAAGCGUGCGCAGGCGGUUCGUUAAGUCUGAUGUGAAAGCCCCGGGCUCAACCUGGGAAUGGCAUUGGAAACUGGCGAGCUGGAGUAUGGCAGAGGGGGGUGGAAUUCCACGUGUAGCAGUGAAAUGCGUAGAGAUGUGGAGGAACACCGAUGGCGAAGGCAACCCCCUGGGCCAAUACUGACGCUCAGGCACGAAAGCGUGGGGAG
RNAcentral lists this ribosomal RNA (245 nucleotides) under uncultured bacterium. RNAcentral describes it as "partial 16S ribosomal RNA". It matches the Rfam family "Bacterial small subunit ribosomal RNA", at positions 524 to 768 of the family's 1533-position model. The record is from RNAcentral.